Molecule: ribosomal RNA, 258 nt
Filed under: uncultured bacterium
Lineage: Bacteria
Description: partial 16S ribosomal RNA
Rfam family: Bacterial small subunit ribosomal RNA
Source: RNAcentral
GACGAACCGUGCGAACGUUAUUCGGAAUCACUGGGCUUAAAGCGCGUGUAGGCGGAUGGGAACGUCGGUAGUUGAAAAGCCCCCCGGCUCAACCGGGGAAGUGGUGCCGAAACGACCCGUCUGGAGGGACGUAGGGGGACCUGGAACUUCCGGUGGAGCGGUGAAAUGCGUUGAGAUCGGAAGGAACGCCCGUGGCGAAAGCGAGGUCCUGGACGUCUACUGACGCUGAGACGCGAAAAGCUAGGGGAGCCAAACGGG